UACGUAGGGACCGAGCGUUGUCCGGAUUCAUUGGGCGUAAAGAGCUCGUAGGCGGCUGCUCAAGUCGAAUGUGAAAACUCGAGGCUCAACCUCGAGCCUGCAUUCGAUACUGGGCGGCUAGAGUCUGGUAGGGGGAUCUGGAAUUCCUGGUGUAGCGGUGGAAUGCGCAGAUAUCAGGAGGAACACCGGUGGCGAAGGCGGGAUCCUGGAGCUUUGCUGACGCUGAUGCGCGAAAGCGUGGGGAGCGAUCCGG
This 253-nucleotide ribosomal RNA is filed under the name uncultured bacterium. Its description in RNAcentral is "partial 16S ribosomal RNA". It matches the Rfam family "Bacterial small subunit ribosomal RNA", at positions 524 to 776 of the family's 1533-position model. The record is from RNAcentral.